This is a non-coding RNA of Chryseobacterium arachidis, 67 nucleotides long. Lineage: Bacteria; Pseudomonadati; Bacteroidota; Flavobacteriia; Flavobacteriales; Weeksellaceae. The record is from Rfam.
UAACCAUGGAGACCAGAAACCAUUAAAAACGGGGCGAAAUCCGAAAAGCCACAAGAGUAGGAACCCA